This 89-nucleotide microRNA precursor is filed under the name Petromyzon marinus (sea lamprey). RNAcentral describes it as "microRNA pma-mir-4625 precursor". Lineage: Eukaryota; Metazoa; Chordata; Hyperoartia; Petromyzontiformes; Petromyzontidae. The record is from miRBase by way of RNAcentral.
UGAGAACAAUAACUGCUGUUAAUGUAGGUGCAUAACAAGCACGGCUUCCCUGUAUUAGUGCAACGUCAUUGCAGCUGUUGUGUUUGUGU